This 456-nucleotide ribosomal RNA is filed under the name uncultured bacterium. Its description in RNAcentral is "bacterial SSU rRNA". It matches the Rfam family "Bacterial small subunit ribosomal RNA", at positions 329 to 802 of the family's 1533-position model. The record is from RNAcentral.
GUACUUACUCCUACGGGAGGCAGCAGUGGGGAAUAUUGGACAAUGGGCGAAAGCCUGAUCCAGCAAUGCCGCGUGAGUGAUGAAGGCCUUAGGGUUGUAAAGCUCUUUUACCCGGGAUGAUAAUGACAGUACCGGGAGAAUAAGCCCCGGCUAACUCCGUGCCAGCAGCCGCGGUAAUACGGAGGGGGCUAGCGUUGUUCGGAAUUACUGGGCGUAAAGCGCACGUAGGCGGCUUUGUAAGUUAGAGGUGAAAGCCCGGAGCUCAACUCCGGAACUGCCUUUAAGACUGCAUCGCUUGAACGUCGGAGAGGUAAGUGGAAUUCCGAGUGUAGAGGUGAAAUUCGUAGAUAUUCGGAAGAACACCAGUGGCGAAGGCGACUUACUGGACGACUGUUGACGCUGAGGUGCGAAAGCGUGGGGAGCAAACAGGAUUAGAUACCCCAGUAGUCCAGGCAU